AAGUUGGUCUUUGCAAUCCAUUAGGUGGAUGAUUCGGCUCAAUUUGUCGACGAAGGAUGUGGCUAGCAGCAUUAUGCUUCGGUUAGGCGCACGCAGCCUUUGACCCGAAGAUUUCUGAAUGUGACUUCACGUUAAAUCCGAAAGGAUAGACAAUUUGGGGAAUUGAAGCGUCUUAGUACCCAAAAGAAAAGAAAUCAAUUGAGAUUCCGUUAGUAUCAGCGAGAGAAAGCGGUGUAAGGCAAACCGAAUCUGUUAUAGUAAUAUAAUAGAAAUGUGGUGUUAUAAGACUUGUUUUUAGAUCCUAAUUAGUGAGUUGAAUUAUUCUGGAAAGUUUAAUCAUAGAGGGUUAUAAUCCCGUAAGCUAAACUAAAAGGAUCGUACAAGUAUCUUGAGUAGUAUUUGUUGGAUAUCAAGUACGAAAUUUGGAGGCAUCAACUUCAAACCUUAAAUACAAAUUGAGUCCGAUAGCUUACUAGUACCGUGAGGGAAAAUUGAAAAGUACUCUUAAUCGAGAGUAAAAAGAUCCUGAAACCUAAUGGAGAUAGUAUGAUACGGCGUUGGUUGUAUCGUACGUUUCGAAUAACGGACCAGGGAGUGUAUCUAAGUGGCAAGGGUAAUUAAAAAGUACCCGAAGCGAAAGCAAGAUCCUGCAGUUCACAAGAGGAAAGGUAUGAAAAUGCCUUAAGUCACUUGGGUACGACCCGAAACCAGACGAUCUAAUCCUGAGCAAGAUGAAGUGAGAUUUCUAUCUCAUGGAGGUCUGAAGAGUUUCUGCGUGCAUGCGUUCUUCUGACUUGGGAUUAGGGGUGAAAAGCCAAUCGAGUCUGGUGAUAGCUGGUUCCUACCGAAAUUGACCUUAGUCAAGUCUCAACAGAGAUUGCCAAGAGGGUAUAGAUACGGAUUGAGAGUUUAGGCCGGGAAACUGGUCAGCUCUUUGUUCAACUCAAAAUCUUUUGGCUUCUUAGAAGUUGGGAAACGGGGGCUAUGGGGUAAGCCUUAGCUCCUAAAGGGGAACAACCCAGAUUGCAAUUAAGGUCCCAAAAUAUCAGUCAAGUGUUAAAGGGUGAAAGGCGUCUAAUUUCAUAGACAGCAGGAAGGUAUGCUUAGAAGCAGCAAUCCUUUAAAAAGUGCGUAAUAGCUUACCUGUCAAGAUAUUAGGCCCUGAAAAUGGACGGGGCUAAACUGAUUACCGAUAUUGCAAACCAUUUACUUUUAGUAGAUGUGUGGUAGGUAGGCGCUAUGUUAGGGUAGAAGUUUUUUCGCAAGAAAAGAUGGACCUAAUAAAGAUGAUUAUCCUGGUAGUAGUAAGAUCAAAACAGAGUGAGAAUCUCUGAUACCGAAAGGGCAAGGGUUCCUCAGCUCUGUAGUUCAGCUGAGGGUAAGUCGGUCCUAACCAAGCUCAUAACUUGAGCAAGGGGAAAGGGAAACAGGUUAAAAUUCCUGUACUACUUGAGUACAUGUGGCAACGCAAGACCAAUUCUAAAAGGUUUUGGCUAAACCAACAUUAAUCAUCGUUAAUGCUAAUUAAGAUAAAACAGAGGAGUACUGUAAUGGUGAGAAUCUGUUUAAACUUAAGAUGGGCUGUCCUAGAGACAGUUUGAUUGAUGCCAAGACUCUGUGAAACUAGAAUUGGUAAGUAACUUAAGUAACCGUACCCAGAACCAGCACUGGUGCCCGGGGUAAGAAACCUAAGGUAUGAGGGUGUAAUUUAGCUAAGGGAAUUCGGCAAAUUGGCAGCGUAGCUUCGGUUUAAGCUGUCCCUGUGUUUGUAACCACAUAGUUGCGAUUACAGGGUUCAAUAACAAGGGGGGUCCGACUGUUUAAUAAAAACUUAACCUUCUGCUAAUCCGUAAGGACUUGUAUAGAAGGUGACGUCUGCCCAGUGCUAGUACUCGAACUCCAGUUUCAACUGGAUUAAGAGCUAGUAAACGGCGGGGGUAACUAUAACUCUCUUAAGGUAAGCACAAAGUUGCCUUAGUAAAAUCUGGCUAUAUGCUAAGAAAUCCGAGUAUCCUGCACUACCAAAAACUAUUUUAAGGUUUAAUUAUACCUUAUAUAUUUAGAGGUAACAAUGUGAUAGGUGCGGACAAUCAGCAGGAAAGGCUAAAUAUCAAUUGGUUAGUCGGUUUUACAGAUGGAGAAGGAUGUUUCCAUGUGGCAUUAAACAAGAUGCCUGGAAUGUCUCUUGGUUGGCAGGUUCUUCCUGAAUUUAGGAUAGUUCAACAUGAACGUGAUGAAAAACUCCUCUAUAAAAUUAAAGAUUUCUUUAAUUAUGGAGAUGUUAGAAAAAAUCACGGAGACAGAAAAGACUUCAGAGUUAGAGGUUUAGAAAAUCUAAAUAAAUUAAUCAGGUUUUUUAAAAAAUAUCCUUUACAAACUUCAAAAAGAAAAAGUUUUGAAAUCUUUUCUGAAAUUAUUGAAUUAAUGAACAGAAAACAACAUCUUAAUAAGGAAGGAUUAAAAAAAAUCGCCAAUCUAGCAUCUAAAAUGAAUCGGAAAGUAAAAAGGUAUUUAGAAUCCUCAGAGACUAUACGCCAGAAUUCCUAAUAGGAAUAAGAUAUAGUCCGACCUGUUAAGCGAUUAACAGAGAUGUACAGAAACGUACAUCCGCCAUUUAUUAUGGUUAGUACUUGACUUUAAAGUUAAGGAAAGUAACAAACGUGAGCGAAAUACCUUGUCGUUUAAUUGACGACUCGCAUGAAGGCGCAACGAGACUCCUACUGUCCCUAGUUAAAAGCCCCUGAACUCACUAUACUGGUGCAAAGGCCAGUGACUUCCAGUGGGAAGCGAAGACCCCGUAGAACUUUACUAUAACCUAUAAUUGUGAGAUAAAUUUUAUUGCUCAGUAUAGGUGGAAGCCGUUAAAGCUUAGCCUUCGGGUUAAGUGUAGGCAAAAUUGAGAUACCACCCAACAAGAUUUAUCCCACUAACUGGAGAUCCAGGACAUUUAUAGGCGGGUAGUUUGGCUGGGGCGGUCCCUGCUGAAAAAGUAUCAGUAGGGCCCUAAGGUCGACUCAACAGGUUUAGAACUCCUGUGGAGAGUGCAAGAGCAAAAGUCGGCCUGACUGAAUUUUGAAAAACAAAAAAUUCAGAGACGAAAGUCAGGUCUAGCGAACCUCUAAACCUCCUUGAUGGGGGUUAGAGAUGACAGAAAAGCUAUCUCGGGGAUAACAGAGUCGUCGCGCCUAAGAGCUCAAAUCGACGGCGCGGCUUGCUACAUCGAUGUCGGCUCUCCGUAUCCUGGCUGUGCAGAAGCGGCCAAGGGUGGGGGUGUUCACCCAUUAAAACGGAUCGUGAGCUGGGUUUAAUACGUUGUGAGACAGUAUGUAUGAUAUCUACUGGAAGUGUUGAUGUCUGAUAGGAAGGACCGUCUAGUACGAGAGGAACGGCGGUUCGGGGCCUCUGGUUUAUCUGUUGUCUGAUAAGGCAGGCAGAGCAGCUACGCCCUUAACGGAUAAGUGCUGAAAGCAUCUAAGCACGAAGUCGGCCUAGAAAAGAGACAUCUUAGAGUACCUGUAGAAGACAGGUUUGAUAGGACUGGCGUGUAAGUAUCAAGCCUCGGCGAGAUAUUAAGCGUGCGGUUACUAAUAACUCAUUUUGACCAACUU
Molecule: ribosomal RNA, 3608 nt
Filed under: Candidatus Woesearchaeota archaeon
Lineage: Archaea; Nanobdellati; Candidatus Woesearchaeota
Description: 23S ribosomal RNA
Rfam family: Archaeal large subunit ribosomal RNA
Source: RNAcentral